UACGUAGGGGGCCAGCGUUGUCCGGAAUCAUUGGGCGUAAAGCGCGCGUAGGCGGUCAGGUAAGUCCGGUGUGAAAGUCAAAGGCUCAACCUUUGAAUGCCGCUGGAUACUGCUUGACUUGAGUCCGGAAGGGGCGAGUGGAAUUCCUGGUGUAGCGGUGAAAUGCGCAGAUAUCGGGAAGAACACCCGUGGCGAAGGCGGCUCUCUGGGACGGUACUGACGCUGAGACGCGAAAGCGUGGGGAGCGAACAGG
Molecule: ribosomal RNA, 253 nt
Filed under: uncultured bacterium
Lineage: Bacteria
Description: partial 16S ribosomal RNA
Rfam family: Bacterial small subunit ribosomal RNA
Source: RNAcentral